Molecule: long non-coding RNA, 6553 nt
Organism: Cynoglossus semilaevis (tongue sole)
Lineage: Eukaryota; Metazoa; Chordata; Actinopteri; Pleuronectiformes; Cynoglossidae
Exons: 4
Source: RefSeq, a predicted model, not a curated record
UAACCUUUAAAGAAAGGGCUUAUCAACACACAUGACUAAUAGGAAGGAGAAAAAUAAUAUUAUCAAGAAGCAAACUGGCAUUUACCCCAUUAACAGAACACAGAACAAUGGAAUAAAUCAGCCUGACACAGCAGUAACAGCAUUUUUCUUUCUCAUUUUCACCGGGGGCCACAUCACAAUAAAGUUCCCCUUAAGGGGCCGGUUGAACUGUAAGACCGUCGAGCUGUCACUACUCUAUAUCAUAAUAAUAGUUUUCUGCAAUCUAUUAUUUGUUCAAUUUACAAAUACUACACAUUGCUCUGUGUAAAUCGGCCUUAAAUUAAACCUUAACUUUGAGUCUUCUUUGUAGGUUCUCAGUAUUCAGCUAUAGUCUGGUUGGUUUUGGAAACUACAGUAUGUGUGACUGACUGUAAUGCCAACAGCAACAUGACAUGACAAAAGUGUGACACCAUGUGCAAGGGCUUCUACUGGACAUCUCUCUUGCCGAGUACAUGCUGUGUCUAAUCAAUUCUGCUUACCUAACCUUGUAUUAUCGUAUUUUCCUAUAAGAUCUCUAGGUGUUGGGGCAGUUUUAAAACAUUCACUGCAGUACAUCUGUAUGUCACUCACUUAUGUGAGAAGCAGCAGAUAGCCUCCCUGCCCCCCACCAGGGGUUUUUCAGACACCCCUGAUUUAGCAUGUCUAAUUGAAUAGCAGGGCCCAAUAUUAUUAGACUAAAGUGAGCAGUAAAAGUCCAAUAAAAAUAAAAAAAACUGCUCACAUUACACCAGCGGUCGGUCUUUGUAAAUGUUCUACCUGCUGUUAGGACGGGCUGAGGCCACCCCUCCUCCUCCUCUUCCCUUCUGCUCCACAAACACCACCUUCAGUCCUGCUAUAUGUGACUCGUGUGUUUGUAUGACUUCAGCAGGGCUGAGGUUGCAGCGAGCUGAAACCACCAGCGUUGUGGCCAUGAUGACUUAGAAUCUGAGGCUAUUUAUACCCUCCUUCUGCCCCCCUUAGCUCAGGGAAACUUGAUGCUGGUCUUUCCCACCAAGGAGGAGAGAGGGAGGAAAAGAGAGAUGAAGAAGAAAAAAGAGAAAGAGGUAAACACAGGCUGAAGUUUGCAGAGGAAGCUCUGUGCUGGUUUCCUGCAUGACUGUCUACACAGGCAGCAUCUUGUGUGUUUGUGAGUAUGAAGACUUUUCCUGUUUGCUCUGUAAGGCCUGUUGUCAACAGUAACUCUGGUUGAACGCGUAUCAUAAUCAACAACUGCAGCAGUAAAGACAAGUCAACACAAAUAAUACCCAAUCACAUCAUUAAUCUGUACAGAAAGGGAAUAACCUUAGAUAUGCGUAACAUUAUUCAUGUGUGGCCUAAAGCAGAGGUCAAAGAGGUCAGAUUUUCCAGAUGUUUCCUAUUAUCCUGCAGCACAGACAAGACCUUCUGGUCACACUCCUCUCAGGGAAGAACGAAGGUCAGAAGCUGGCGUUUUGGUCACACAAUUCCCUGGUUGUCUUUCAUAGAACAGGAACCACCAUGACGCAGGGUCAGUGUGGUCAACAAGCUCCAGCAGCAUUUUUAAAAAUGGGAAAACUCCCAUUUUUAUGGUUUUAUAAGGAAAAUCCCUGCAGCCUUCCGGUCAUGAUUGUCCUGACCACAUCCUUGUCGUAGAUAUCCUAGACUUUGGGCAUCAAGAAAACAGAAAUCUGCUUUUCCUGCACAGGUCUGAAGAAAAUCCCAGCUCAUCCAUGUCACUAUGAAUUCCCAAACAUGGGACCGAAGGUUUAAAAAAAUUAUUAUUCAUUAGCAUAAACUUUUAAAUGACAAUAGGAAUAUUUUCAUUGAAAAGCCAAAGGCACAGGAGAGGUCAGCAGAUUCAGAGAUGCGAUGUGAUAGCAGUGAGAAAAACGAAACCUCUAAUCCUUCUUUUCAACCCUCCAUCCCCCUUCUCACCUCUGCUCUUCCUCCAACCCUCCGUACACACUUCCCAUCUGCACGUUAGAUGAACUGGUUGGCAGUGGUUAUAGCUAGAGGAUGAAUGACAUGCAAUGCAAAUGCUGGGAUGCCCAAGUGGGAUAACUGCAGUGUGUGUGUGUGGCAGUUGUUGAAAUGAAUGAGGAACGCUUCACUUGUUUAUAACAGGAAUGGGGUUUUUUCUUUCAUUUUUUUGCCCCCUAAUGAGAAGCACCUACAACAUUUCAGAGGAGGAAAAGCUAAUAUUAGCAUUUUAUGUCAUGUUAAGAUUUAAAGCAGUUGCUUUAUUGCUCUUUGAAGGCAGUACCACAAUAUUGUGCUACACUUGAGAUCAGUUAAACUGGAGUAUACAGGGAAUUAGGUGUGGACACUGAAGAGCUACAGCUUUACAGAGCUGUUAAAACUUAAUAGCUUAAUUGCUGUAAAUGCACUCUCAAUAAGGUGUAAGGACUCCAUUCACUCUGUCAGUUGUUAGCCAUUAGCAACCAAGCAAGCAAUGGGCAAUUCAACUGGAAACUUUAUCAUUCUACUGAAACAGUUCAUGAAGGCAACAUCUGCUACAUCUGGGGAAAGCUGCAGAAUUGGCCUUCAGGGAGAAUGUUUAAAAGAAGCACGCUCAUCAAAGACACGGUCACCAAACCUUAAAGUCGAUGCAAAGGAAUCAGCUGACUGGUAAAAACAUUAGACAGAGACAGCAGUUUGUUGGCCUGAAAUACAUUGCAUGCAUUUAAACAGACAUUUUGCCACUUGGACAAAAGGAGUGAAGGUAUGUAAAAGAAACACAGGUGCUUUCAGAUGAGACAGAAGCUGAAAAGCUGCUCAUAAAAACACAGUGUACUCAUAUAAGGACGUCCUCUGGACGUACACAGUGAACUGUCAAUAUGACAUAAUGUCCAGACGGCCCUGCUGCUUUUAAAGUCUGCAGGCUUCAUUUUUCUUGGCUUCUUGCUGUUUCUUUUCCUAAGUUACUGCUAUUUCUGUUCCCCAUCUACAUGCUAACUCACAAACCAAACAAACUCAUCAAGCUGUCAAAGAAUAUUCUGGGAAAUGUAUGACCUCUUUAACUACAAACUGGACGAUGUGGUCCAAAAGAGUGUAUACUCCAGGGCAAAGGGGGGAAGACGUCACUUAUUACCAGAAAUGAAUGAGUCUUUUCUUUGGCCACUUCAUUACACAUCACUGCUGAAGCGGCUUCACACCCAGGAACCAUCUCAGCCAAUUACCUCUCGCACACUGAACAAAUCGAUAUCUUUACUGGAACCAUAUGUUCUAAACUCCCACUGUCAGACUUUUCCUUAUCAAACACCACUGUGAGCUGCACGGUGACAAUGCUCGGACUCCCACUGAGGAAGGGGAGCUCAGCUGGACCCUGGAUGUCAAGCAUUUGCUGCAGAUUUGCUGAGGAUUAGCUGUGGUGCUUGGAUCGGAUGGGUCUCCUCAUUCUGACUACUGUUUUGAUUUGAAAGUCCAAAUAUACCAUUACCAAUCAGAGCCACCAAGUUGUAAUACAAUAACAGGCUCCACAUAGGCAUUCAGCGGAGCUCAUAUGCAUGCAAACCAUAUGCUAUCACUUCCAGGGGCACAUAAGUACAGAGUACAGAGCAGCAUGCUUUGGCAUCCAGGCUUGUUACCACAGUGAUGUAUGUCUCCAUAUGUAAAUGUGAGUCAUAAUGAGGGCAACGCAUUCCAGCAUGGAGGGAAACACUUGUCAGCAAGAUUGUAUGAAAACAACAAGAUGUCAGUUUAAAGCCAAAAUACGGACUCAUUUUAUAGACAUGGGAGUUUCUAUGGAGAGCCAGCAUUGAUCAUUUAAAAAUAGACCCAACCCCUGAGUAGUAAAAUUAGUAAAUAUAAGUUUUAAACAGUUUUGUGGGAAUGGGUCAGCUUGUGUAUUUGAUUUCAGAGUUUCUGGGGAAGAGGUCAAAUUUGUACCACACCAAAAUAAAGUUCUGUGUCAUCUAGCAGUGGUGAAUUCCUGAGAGCACUACAGCCUAAAGUGCUAUAGUCAAAAGAAUUAAUUAUGCUAAAAACACUAUACAAAAAAUAAAAACAACAUAAAAAACCAGCAGAUAAUUGUGACCAAAAUGACUGAUGCAUCAUUUAGAAACUGCCCUAUAUUUGCUAAAUAGUAGCUAAAUGUUAUCUGAACCAUUAUGUUACAUAUAAUGGGGGGGGGGGGGGGGGGUUGAUUUCCCUCAGUGAUGUCCAUUAAUUAAUUAAAAAAUACAUAAUUAAUUAAAGGAGUUGCCAAUCGCCAUAGACGCAUCUCAGUGCCAAAACAGAGAUUCUGCUGAGUAUCCCCACAAAGUCCAAAAACUUUAACAUGGCUAGGGGAAACUGUCAGCUAUUAAUAGAAUAAUGGGAUUGAAUUGAAGUUUUCCACACAAAUGACUACAUUCAUGCAUUCAUUCACAACGUGGCUUCAAUCAGAAGAUGGAAAGUGCAAAAUGAGGGGAGUAGAGGGGGUCUUGGUGCAGGACUGUGGCACUGACAGCUUUCAGAUGUCCACAGGAAAGAGCUUCCAGACUUCUCUGAUAAAUCAGUGGGGCUUUGUCUUUAUCAUUAUGCCAGAACUGGGGGGAUGUCAAAAGCAUUUCCCUCUGCUGCCUGCUCUGUCUUGUAACAGAAGAUAAGAAGCCUUGGCUGCUUUUGCACGACCCAAAAUGAAAGGAGUGUCAUAUAUAAUGGCUCCAAAAACUUUCACAAAGUCACAAACACUAAACAGACCAAAAGAGGGGUUUCAAUAAAAGAGGACAUCAGUGUUAACGUCAGGCUGCACAAACAAACACAAGAAGAGAAUCCUUAAGUACACAAAAGUGACACUAGAUGUCUGUCAAGAUGGACAGAAUUUUUCAGGAACCUUGAACAAGUUUCCAACCAUGUGACAGCACAAGGCAAAAAGGAAGCAAUGACAGAUGUUGAAAUCGCACGGCCAUUUAAAACUGGCUUUUAUCAGCAAGUAAAAAUGUUAACAAUCAGAACUCAUAUUUUAAACGGACUUCAGGGAGGUACACGACAUCUGAAGCCCUAACCAGCUAAAGGUCAGUGUUCUUGAGCUGACCCUAACCUUUGACCAUGAUGACAGAAGAGGGGCGUGUUUCCAUCAAGAAAGCCAUAAAACACAGACACAACCUUGUCACAUCGCACAAAAAAUGGUAUGCAGACAAUUUGGUAUUAAGGCCCACCCAGGGUUCUCCUCAGUGUGAAGCAGAACCGACACCUGCACUGUCUACACAUGAUACAGCAAAGGUUGGACAGAGGACAGUGAUGAGAAGUGACAAGCAAACAGUCAGACCUCUGCAGGUGGGAGCCAACCCCACUGGCACUGAUUAGAUGGCUGCUGGAGGAGUGUAAAAUGGGGAGGUGCUUUUACACACUCACUGGCUUACCAGUUAAUUAGGGUUAUCUCAUGUUUGGACUCUUCUACAUUCAGAACUUCAAGGGGCAUUGGUGGAACAACAAAUAUUCUUAUGACAAUUAGGUCUGUUGAUGCUCUGAUACUGCACUGAGACCCUGUGAGCUUGAGUCCAAUUAACUAACAUUAACACCACAAAAGAGUGUGUGAACAGUUGACACAAGACAGGACAAAUGAACAGCUUUCAUGUAGAGAUGUCCAAAGUCUGACCCUCGUCCUGCCAGACUAGACUUGUCAGACCAAGUGAUGCAAACCAUGGUUCAUUUCAGCAUGGUAGACUUUCACUGUAGCCCAUCUGCUUCACCAUGGACAUGUUUUUCAGAGACACUCUUGCUCAAGUUGGUUGUAAUUAAUUUUUCUUCCCUAAUCAGCCUUGUUGUUCUCAUCGGACUUCUGACAUGGGUUGUUUUAAAGGGCCAUUUUUGGUCUUUUUCUGUAAACCCUAGGGGCCACUGCGUGGGAGAAACAUUGUCUGUGAAUAGUUUUUAAAUUCCUUUUCGGAACCCUUCCGGAAUCAGCAAGCAUGACGAAUUUGUAGUCAUUACUGUAAAACACAAUAGCCCACUCCUGUGUGAUAUGGCUCCUUAUCUAUGUGUGUAGUAGAAAGGGGAGUGUGUGUGUUGCUGUGUUGAAUGAUCAUGAAUAUCUAUGUACUUGCAGGGACAAUGAGAACCUGGAGCCUUGUGUCCUUUGAUUGUCCUGAACCUGAGCUUUAACACACAAUAGAAAUGUGUGAAUGACAGUCCUUCCACCAACUACCCCUCCUCACCCCCCGCGUUCCCUUUAAUUCAGACUGGAGCCACUGUAGAAGAUCACAAUACAAGACUCUUCCAAAUGUAACCAGGAUGGAGUAGGACGCAGCAGAUUGGACCCAGACUCACCUCCAGCGGGCUGACUCUUACGUAGAAAAUAAAGACGGUGUCAAAUGGUCGACAGGGAAGCAGGUCGAGAUAACUGAUGUCAUCAAAAAACCCUGGCAACGAUGACUCCAGACCAAUCAGAUGUGGAGGUAUUGGACGUCCCUCAGGAACAAACACCUGCUGUGGGAAGAAAGAGUGUGAGCUCACCCUCUGAUUGGCUCGAGCUCCUCUGGGUUGGUGGAAAAGCUGCAUGGUCCAGGCAUGUCUGCCAGCUGUACCUCGGAUCAAAACUGUUACUGAUGGACUGGGAUCUGAGAGAACAGAG